RNAcentral lists this long non-coding RNA (316 nucleotides) under Nicotiana benthamiana. RNAcentral describes it as "long non-coding RNA (NBEN_LNC001836)". The record is from RNAcentral. Lineage: Eukaryota; Viridiplantae; Streptophyta; Magnoliopsida; Solanales; Solanaceae.
CUCUUUCUUCAUGGUACAUUUUUUUCCAAUGUGAAAAUGAUUUCCUGUUUAUGUAUGCUUUUAGGAUUUUAUAAUUUAUGUGUGGCUUUGUUUUCUCUGCAGGAUGUUAAGUGCCAAGGCUGCUUUAACAUGUAAGAUCUUUGUCCUUUGGUUUUAUUAUGUUUAGCUUAGUAUUUCCUAGUGUUCCAAUCUUUAUGUGGGACUAUUACUUAGAGAAUCAAAGUAUUAUGUUGUAUUAUCUCAAUAGUUUCAGCCGUGAUAAUCAAAGUGUACAGCCCGCCUCUUGGCUUAUUGGUGUUAUCGAUAAUCGAAUCGA